RNAcentral lists this unclassified non-coding RNA (322 nucleotides) under Agaricomycetes sp. RNAcentral describes it as "partial contains 5.8S ribosomal RNA, internal transcribed spacer 2, and large subunit ribosomal RNA". The stretch from base 1 to 71 matches the Rfam family "5.8S ribosomal RNA", at positions 84 to 154 of the family's 154-position model. Lineage: Eukaryota; Fungi; Basidiomycota; Agaricomycetes. The record is from RNAcentral.
GUGAGUCAUCGAAUCUUUGAACGCAUCUUGCGCUCCAGGGUAUUCCUUGGAGCAUGCCUGUUUGAGUAUCAUGAAUAUCUUCAAUCCCCGAGGGCUCUGCCCCUUUUGGUGGACUUGGACUUGGAGGUUGCUGGUAAUCCUGGCUCCUCUCAAAUGUAUUAGCUGGAACCUCAUGUGUAUCUCCGGUGUGAUAAUAUCUACUCCGCUUGAUCACAAAGUCAGGAUCUGCUUCCAAUCGUCCCAAGUUGGACAAUACCUUCACAUCUGAUCUCAAAUCAGGUAGGACUACCCGCUGAACUUAAGCAUAUCAAUAAGCGGAGGA